Molecule: non-coding RNA, 21 nt
Organism: Caenorhabditis elegans
Lineage: Eukaryota; Metazoa; Nematoda; Chromadorea; Rhabditida; Rhabditidae
Source: Ensembl
GCUGAGAACAGGGGAUUCUUU